GAACCUUCGGAAGAAGAAUACCAACCUGGGAGGCAUAGAAGAUACAAACUACGUAGACUAGAGUGACAGCUAUAUAAGUGUUCAGACCCGUGACUGUAAGCAGAGAAGAGGUGUUAAUUAAAGAACCACUGGCGAGCAGUCUGCAAUGACGAUCGAAACGAAGAUUCAGAUACUCGUAGCUCGAUGUUAGUCUGAGCUUCAUGUAAACGGGCAGGUAAAGGAUUGCCAAGGAGCUCAAUAGCCGUUAUAAAACUGGCAGCCAGGGACAUCGCCAUAGGAAAUGUCCCCAUGCUAGAUCCUCCUAGCAGAAAGUCCUGACUGGUUUCCUGCUUCUUAGCGAAGAAACCGUAGAAGGUAUGAAAAGCAUUUGAAAUCAAGAUGUACAGAAAUCAAUCUGGAUCUUUUACGCGAUCUUAAAUAUAUCGGUGAUACUCGAUCAAAUAUCGUUGAAUGCGGCUCAAGGAUACUGAAUGCCAAGUACAGAGAUCGAUCGAGUUAUUGGUUUUCUUCUCAAUUACCUUGCAGAUUGAAAAAGACGAGAGUACAAUGUUGCUUUAUUUUAUUAUCUUGAUCUUUUAAGUAAUGUAUUGCCUUCUGUUAUUGUUAAGAAUGAAUUAUUUAACAAAUUUUUAAAAAAUUGUAACUUCAUUUCAUCGAUGAAGAAUGUGAGAUUUUAAGAUAAUUAUCUUAGCGUGUUUACUGGAGUAUAGAUAAAGCCGUAAUUGAUUCAACGUGCAUAUCUGAAUUAUUGGUCGAUUAUUUCUACCUUACGUAAGCAAAGUGUAACGCACUAUCCUGUGUCAUCUUUAUGGCUAUUAACACCAGCUUUCGAUCAUCAUUAAAAUAUCUGGUUGACACUGGAUAGAACCGGUUAAUUCAGAGUCAUACAAAUUUGGAAAUGCACGAGCCACGAUGAAGUAACACCGAAUGAAUAUUCAAUACAUUCCUUCUUUCAAGGGCAAAGUGACGAAGGGCAAAGUGAUAAUUUUGAAGGUCGAAAAAAACAUAGAGAGUUCAUGGGAAUUCACCUGAAGAUUAAAAUCUAGAAGAAUAAAGUGUCACUGUGACUUCAACUUCAUUCAAACACCGGAUCUUUCCUUACAUACAAAGAACUGAAAGACAAGCUGUAAUCGAUAAUGAAUUUCAUAAGCAUUUUCGUUAUUGACACUGCAUCUAUCAGUGAUCCUCCACGAGCAUUAAAUCUGGUCAUUUCUAGUUGAAACCGGUUUCAUUGAAUUGGAAUGAAUGUUAAACCUCAGCAAACAAGCAAAGAAACAGAUCAAUUUUUUAUUUUUUUGUCACCUGACAUAAAUUAAUUUAAAUUAUCUUCUAAAUGAAAGAAAGAUUUUAGACAACUUUGUGUUUGGUAUCCCAGAAUUAAUUACAUGUUACAAAUUUUUGUAUGGGUAUCAUCUGUCCAAGAGCAGUGUUGAAAGUUGUACUUUUUACUUCAUAUUUUCUUAAACAAUUUCAAGGCCCAUUCUCUAAGUUUCAAGAACUUCUUCAAGUUCUCAAGAUAUUGGAUCUCUAAGAUCUUUGCCUCUUCAGCAAUAUUCUAUCUUAAAAUCUCUUUGAAAAUAAGAGGCUCAAAUGGUGGAGAUGAAAGUUUCUCAAUAUUUAUAUUUCUAAAAAUAAUUCUAUGUUAAUAAGUAUUAAAAAUCUGAUUUUCAGGAAAACCAAGAUGAUGAGUUCUAAACAAGAUUGCCAUAAAAAGGUGUAGACAAAAAGUAUUGACACCCAAAGAAAGUAUUCUUUGAAGUCAUAAAAUUUCUUACCUCAGGCUGAAAUUGAAGUUGAAGCUAGAGAUCCAGGAGCGCAAGAGAAGAAAAGAAGAGAGGUUCAGUGACAACAGAAAGUUGGCAGAAAGCGUCGGACAAAGGCUGAAACGAAUUCACUGAUCGUUCAGCGUCUCAGCUCGGGCUGAUGAAGCAAAGAAGAAGCGACUCGAGGGCGAUUAACUAAUUAAGAAAACGUCGUCGGCUUCACGCGUCUCGUUUGCUACGGAGCCGACGAAUUAAGCGCAGAACGAUUUCAGACUGUCGUUUUAAUUGUCACAUGUGCCCAUUUAUAUGAAGCAUCCCCUUCCAGACCGACAAGUUUCUUCCAUUCCGGAUAUUCUUAUGGAAACGACAACCAUAAUUAUAAGUAAACUACGAUAAUUGAAAGUGAUCUAUAUCGUCUCUUUUUAAAUUUUCUCUUUUAUAUUCACACAGGAUGGCAUUGGGUAAUUUCUUUUUGUAUAAUUAAUGUCAAGUUAUUUGAAUAAGAGUAAGGAAUACUCAAAGUUGAUUAACAAUUGGAAAUUGAGUGGAAAAGAAGAUUAAAUGAGUACCACCAUUAAUCCUUGAAUGAAAAGAUUUAGAUCUGUUUAAAUAAUUAGUAUUGAAUAUCUCAACAGUGAUUGAGUAGCAACCCUCAUAAUAAGGUAAUUUAGAUUAGAAAAAAGAGAACGAUUGAAUUGGAAGGAUCUCUUAACUAGGGCAUAACUUAAUUAGACCCAAAUAGAAUUACUGAGUUCAUAAUCGAUCCACGUUAGUAUUGUAAGCCUCUUUGCAUUCUUUUAAGUAGAAUUAGACUCUUCUACAGUUUCUGAUUUAAUAGUUCCACUUUACAGUUUAUGACAGAAAUUUAAACUAAAACUUCUUCCAUAUUUUUUAAUAAAUUUUUAUUAAAAAUCUUGUUUUUUCUUUUUACUAAUAGUAAUUAAGACUUCUCGAGUUUCUUUAAAUGUAAGGUUAACGAUGAGGGUAUAAAAAAAUUCCUUUCAUUAAAAUGUCGCAUAAGAUUCCAGAGCUUCAAAGUCAUGGUAAACACAAUGAAAAUUACAUAACUGGAAAUUGAUCCUCGUUGGUGUUUGACGCAGUUUGAUUAUGAAGCGAUUGUCCUCCUGUCUCUGAAUUUAUAAUUACAAUGGAUAUCAGGUAACACUGAAUAUGAAUUACAGUUUACACUAAAUUGCAUUAUUGAACGCGGUUAGCAUCAAUUACAUGUUUCUGAAAUUCCAAAGAAGUAUGAAGGAAUCAUUUAAUAGAGGACCAUUCCAAGAAGAAAGAAUAAAUAAAUCAGGGAAGAAUAUUCUAAAUUAAACUAUGAAGUUUCAUGCAGAAAGAAGAAAUAUAAUUAUAUCUAUAGGAAAGAAGUCAACAGAUGAAAGAAAAUAGAUUUUUAUUCGAGAGAUGUACUUUUUGGGAGCAGCAGAAGCACCAAGAACAAUUGCUAAGAUCACAGUACUCUCUAUGAUAAAGAGGACUGAUAAACUACCACUAGUGGCUCUAUUAGGAGAAGAUUGGAACAUGAAAAAUCGUCUCAUGUACUGAAAUAGGCCUGAAAACCAUGUCCACCGUCAGUUGAAACGGGAUUCAACCGGUUACUGCUCCACAGGGUUGUAAACAAACCACAUUUCUUAAACUUCUGUGUCCCUGAUGGUUUCACUUAACUCAUUCUUUCAAGAUCCUCAUAUUGACCAACAUAUUUAAAUUUAAAAUAUUCAGUAACUCAUCCAUUGCAUUGAAGGAACUAAUCUUAUACAAGAACAAGAUAUAAUUUUUAAAAACAAAUUAAAUUAUUCUUGAUAAUCAUGUACAGCAUGUUCUCUGUAUUCUUUGUAUAUUGGUUGUAUCAACUGAAGAAUCAUAGGUUUUUCUAGAUGAAUCAAAGAUGAUUCUUCAUUUCUCAUUUUAUUGCCUUUCUUGGACUCAAGGUGUAUAUAUACAAUUUAAGCAAUUAAACUGAUAUAUCUGACUCACUAUACUUGCAAUUUAAUGGAGCAAUAAUCCAAAAGAAAGAUUGUAAGGAAUAGCUUAACUUUUAAUUCAAUUUUAUAACUUCAAGAGUCACCAUAUGAAUGGAACAUUGAAUAAUAAUGUUACUGUACUAUAAAUCAGUUAAUGGAUUCUAUAUUAAAAAAAAUUUGGAAAUAUUUACAUUCUAUCUAAGUAAAAGUUUAUUGAACAUUUUAGAGCUACCUUAGCAGCUUCCUUCAGUGUAAAAUAUGUUUCAUACGCUGUUGUCACAUCAAUUUUUUGUGCAAAUAUCAGUAAAAUACAACUUUACAUAUAUAUAUUCCAUGCACUGAACAUACAAAUACUACACACACACGCGCGCGCGGUUAAAACAAAUUUCGUAUUAAAUACUCUAUAUGAUCUUUUCCGUAUCACAUUUUUCGGAUCAUUAAACUAUUCUACGACUCUCGCUUAAUUUCACUUACACAAUACUGUGGCAUUGAAGCCGUUAAUUUCAAAACUAAACUAAAUAUUCUAUAUUGUGAAAAAUACCAUAAGAAAGAGGAUGUAGAGAGGAGGGGAGAGAGUCCUACAAAAAUAAACAGAAGCACGUGAAACAGAGGUGAAUAUAAUAUACUACUAGAUUGAUAAUAAUGUACAAUAGUUUGAUUGCAAUCAAUCUAUAAUGAUUGUUUUCAUCGUUGUACCAUUUCAGAAACUAUUAUAGUAUAAUUUCAUCUGUACCAAAACUUGAAACUGACAAAGAGUCAUGGAUGCCAAGAAUAUUUGUCAUAGAUAAAAAAACCAUUUGUAGAAUUUCUUAAUAAAUUAAUUGGCCAUUAGACAAAACGACGUGAAAAAUGACGACUACGUUUCGCAAGAAAAAUAAUUAAACAAAGCCCGGUGUCGAUCGAAGCGCAAGUUGCAGAUAAAUUGAAACUGGUUUCAACUAGCCACUAGUAGUUUGAUCUGGACUUAUUAAACUUCUUUUGAACCGCCUUAGACCGUCCUUUAUCUUCUCUGGACAGUUUGAAGUUAUUACUUCAUUGCUUCUUUUUACCAAUUAAAUUUCAUAAAAUCAAUUCCUGAAAAUGUAUACAAGUACCAUUAAAAAAUGUAGUUAAAGAACAAGAAAGUAAAUGAAGAGUUAAAUACCUGAUAGAACUAGUAAUUAUCCUUAUACUAAUGGAAGUCAUAAAUAUCUCCAUUGUGAUGACAAAGCAGUUAAUAAUGAAUUAUUAUAACUUGCACUUAAUUGUAGUGACUUUAUUCUUCCUUAGGACAAUGAAAAAAAGAUCAGAAGGAAUUCGCAUUCUUAAUACAGUUCCACACAGUGCUUUAUUAACUCUUGUUGUAUUAUACAGUUUAGUUAAAGUAGAUGUCGUAAACGAUAUUAUUACACUUCACAAAGUGAACGACAAUUAAGUAUUUCGUUUAUCACAUAUAAUAACUAAUAGAUAUGUUAUAAAUAUAUAUUUCAAAAAUCCUGUUUUGAAAUUAUAAAUUAUUAUCUUUGUUUGUAAUACCUCUCUUUUUGUACAAUAUCAUAUGACAAAAAUACGUGAUUUUUAUUUAGAGGAUCUAUUAAAAUUUUCUAUUUUUUACUACAGUAUUGUACUUUUGUUAUCACCAUGCAAUAAUAGCUUGCAGUGCACUUAAACAGGUUAGCGUGUACAAAGAAACUUCAUUUACGUUUCUUCCCAUUGCAAACUUUAGUACGUCGUUUCAUUGCUAAAAUAUAUAGUGUAAAUAGUAUUUCUAAUCCUUAGCUAA
This is a long non-coding RNA of Megachile rotundata (alfalfa leafcutting bee), 5495 nucleotides long. Lineage: Eukaryota; Metazoa; Arthropoda; Insecta; Hymenoptera; Megachilidae. The record is from RefSeq and is a predicted model, not a curated record.